ACCAAAGUCAUCAGAGAGUAAUCUUCCCCGGCCGCGCCGCGGGGCCUGCAUCGACAGACUUGGCCACAUCGGUCAUGGUGCAGGCGACCCCUAAGCUUGAUGAUAUCUUUGACCGCACCUAAGUCCGGUAGGGCCAGGACAGAGUGCAGGACAGGGCGUUCGUUGCGUCCGAUUUUCCUGGAGCAUGUCUGGAU
Molecule: small RNA, 194 nt
Filed under: Steroidobacter denitrificans
Lineage: Bacteria; Pseudomonadati; Pseudomonadota; Gammaproteobacteria; Steroidobacterales; Steroidobacteraceae
Description: Manganese sequence
Rfam family: Manganese Mn2+ riboswitch aptamer (yybP-ykoY)
About the family: This RNA was originally discovered in E. coli during a large scale screen and was named SraF. The family was later found to exist upstream of related families of protein genes in many bacteria, including the the yybP and ykoK genes in B. subtilis.
Source: RNAcentral